RNAcentral lists this ribosomal RNA (422 nucleotides) under uncultured bacterium. RNAcentral describes it as "bacterial SSU rRNA". It matches the Rfam family "Bacterial small subunit ribosomal RNA", at positions 355 to 774 of the family's 1533-position model. The record is from RNAcentral.
UAAGGAAUAUUGGACAAUGGCCGCAAGGCUGAUCCAGCCAUGCCGCGUGCAGGAAGACGGACCUAUGGUUUGUAAACUGCUUUUGAACGGGAGAAAACCCUUGCUCGUGAGCGAGGCUGAUAGUACCGUUAGAAUAAGCAUCGGCUAACUUCGUGCCAGCAGCCGCGGUAAGACGAAGGAUGCAAGCGUUAUCCGGAUUCAUUGGGUUUAAAGGGAGCGUAGGCGGACUUAUAAGUCAGUGGUGAAAUCUCCGAGCUUAACUCGGAAACUGCCAUUGAUACUGUAGGUCUAGAGUACAGUUGCCGUUGGCGGAAUAUGACAUGUAGUGGUGAAAUACUUAGAUAUGUCAUAGAACACCGAUUGCGAAGGCAGCUAACGAAGCUGUAACUGACGCUGAGGCUCGAAAGUGCGGGGAUCAAACA